GGAGAGGAAAUGGUUGAAUAUGACUUAUUCCAAUCAUGGGGCCCUGAGAAGACUCUCCGUGAUCUAGCUCCCUCUAUUACCAGAAAUAUGUUGGUCCCUGAACAUCCCAAGAGAUUGUUCAAAAUCUUAAAAAACAAAACAAAGCAAUACAUCUCAAAUCUGGCUUUCAAUAAGGCACCAACAAUUUCUGCCUUCAAAAGAACACUUCUUUCAUAAUGAGCGCAUGUGGAUGUUCCCAUGAAGACACAGUGGAUCAUUGAGUGACAGACUCGGGGAGGUUUUGAACUUGAAAAGCAACAUGUUGUGACUUGGAAAUGUCCUAAUCAGAUGUCUCGUCGAUCUGCUGCCCAGGUGAGGGGAGUGGAGUCGGAAGAGAGCCUCCAGCUGUUGCUUCCUUCAGGAUCAGAAGCUGCAGAGAAGAACCUUAAGCAAGGCCAUGUACUCCCAGGGCAGCCACAUCCUCUGACUGAGGGAGGCAGAGGCACAAAGGCCCAGCUGUUCCUCUCCAAAGGGGAUGCCCGAUGGGCCACACUAGCUCCAUCACUCCUCGCUGAAUUGGCCAAGGCUUUGUUUCCCUUUUUCCUCUGCUCAAUACUGCUUCUUUCCCUCGCAUCCUGCUUUUUCACAUGUGCUGAUCCCUAAUAAACAUCUUGUACUUCAAACUUGGGCUAAUUGUUUGCUGCCAGAGAACGUGAUCUAAGACACUAUUUCUUUCUGUCCAUAUUGCUCUUUGUUCAGAUUAGUUCAGAAUAUAUUUGGAACCAAGGACAGAUCCUCUAUUUAUAUUAAAUGUGAUUUUAAAAAUAUUGAACCACAAAAUAUUGAAUUCCAGUUUGUCAGGAUCAUUUUGGAUAUAAUUUUACCCUCCUAGGCAUUUGCUUCACCCAGAUUUGUGUCAUCUUAACAUACGAUUACCAGCAACUAUUUCCCAAAGUUUUUGGUAAAAUGUUAACCAAGUCGUUUUUGAAGAUGAGUCCUAUUCACUAGUCUGGACUAACACAUGUCAAUUAAUUAGUGUUUACUGGUUAUGAUUAUUCAGUUAAGAAUUGUUUUAUUCUAUUUUGAUAUUGCCAGAGUAACAUUAAAGAGAUUAUUACUCCUAAAUAAUUUUUUAUUGCAAUAUAAAUUAUAUACGGAAAGGUGCACAAAACCUAAGUCUAAGAUUAACGUGUGGGCGCACUCCUGUGCCCGCCAUGUCAAUCAGGAAUUGGAAUAUUACUAGCAGCUCAAAAGCCCUUCAAACCCCUAACAUGAUCCUCUUUCCUAAAAGUAGCUGUGUUCCUAGCUUUAACAUCAUAGGUUAUUUUGAUUUUAUUUUAGUACUUUUAUGUAAAUUGAAUGUUAUGGCUGAUAGUCCUUUGUGUGUCUGAGAUUAUUCAUGGAAUGUUAUGUUUGUGAGAUUGAUAAAUAUUA
RNAcentral lists this long non-coding RNA (1413 nucleotides) under Equus caballus (horse). RNAcentral's name for it is "lncRNA (ENSECAG00000050860.1)". Lineage: Eukaryota; Metazoa; Chordata; Mammalia; Perissodactyla; Equidae. The record is from RNAcentral.